UCCGCCUGGCUCUGCCUCCCGAGUGCUGGGAUUAAAGGGAUGCGCCACCAUGUCCAGCUACCAGAUCUUAUUAUAUAUGACUAUAAGCCACCAUGUGG
Molecule: microRNA precursor, 98 nt
Filed under: Erinaceus europaeus (western European hedgehog)
Lineage: Eukaryota; Metazoa; Chordata; Mammalia; Eulipotyphla; Erinaceidae
Description: miRNA (ENSEEUG00000019557.1)
Source: RNAcentral